AUUGAACGCUGGCGGCAGGCCUAACACAUGCAAGUCGAGCGGAUGAAGGGAGCUUGCUCCUGGAUUCAGCGGCGGACGGGUGAGUAAUGCCUAGGAAUCUGCCUGGUAGUGGGGGAUAACGUCCGGAAACGGGCGCUAAUACCGCAUACGUCCUGAGGGAGAAAGUGGGGGAUCUUCGGACCUCACGCUAUCAGAUGAGCCUAGGUCGGAUUAGCUAGUUGGUGGGGUAAAGGCCUACCAAGGCGACGAUCCGUAACUGGUCUGAGAGGAUGAUCAGUCACACUGGAACUGAGACACGGUCCAGACCCCUACGGGAGGCAGCAGUGGGGAAUAUUGGACAAUGGGCGAAAGCCUGAUCCAGCCAUGCCGCGUGUGUGAAGAAGGUCUUCGGAUUGUAAAGCACUUUAAGUUGGGAGGAAGGGCAGUAAGUUAAUACCUUGCUGUUUUGACGUUACCAACAGAAUAAGCACCGGCUAACUUCAUG
Molecule: ribosomal RNA, 484 nt
Filed under: uncultured bacterium
Lineage: Bacteria
Description: partial 16S ribosomal RNA
Rfam family: Bacterial small subunit ribosomal RNA
Source: RNAcentral